Molecule: non-coding RNA, 97 nt
Organism: Podarcis lilfordi (Lilford's wall lizard)
Lineage: Eukaryota; Metazoa; Chordata; Lepidosauria; Squamata; Lacertidae
Source: the annotation of a GenBank genome assembly
AACUUGUAAUGAGAGAGAGACAGAGAGAGAGAGAGAGAGAGAGAAAAGGGGUCUUUCUCUCUCUCUGCCUCUCCUGACUCUGCCUGUUCAUCUCUAG